CGUUACCAUCUCUCAGCUCAUUCUGAAGGUGUAUAUGUUGUUUUUAUUUUAUUAAUGAAGGAAAUCAAAGGAUAAAUGGAAGUAGACAUACUCUUUAACGUUUACAAAGGUUUUUUUCACACCCAAUGUACUCUGGUUUCACAGUUAGUGGGAUCGGCAAGACAGAUGUGAUCAUUCCAUUUUACAGAUGAGGAAACUGAGACUCAGACAGGUAAAGUGACUGGCCAAGCUCACGUAGCUAGUUGGCAGCAGAGAAUCCAGGUCUUCUCCCGCAUCCAAAAAACGUGGAUAUCUGUUAGGUGUACGUAGCUACUUAUACGCACCCAAUCUGGAAAGGGAAGUCCUCUGUUGUUCAGUGAAGGCUCUGCUCUGUAACCUUCAGUGAGCAGAAGUGGAGAGGAUGAAUCACAAGAGGACGUGCUGAUGGAUGAAGCUCCUUCCAACCUCAGCCAAGCUUCCACCUUGCAGGCCAACCGAGAAGAUUCCAUGAAUAUCCUGGACCCUGAGGAUGAGGAGGAGCACACUCAGGAAGAGGACAGCAGUGGCAGUAACGAGGAUGAGGAUGAUAGUCAGGAUGAAGAGGAGGAGGAGGAGGAAGAUGAGGAAGAUGAUCAGGUGAGGGGGGACUGUGUUUGGGUGGUUCAGAUGACCUCUUCCAUGGGAGCACAGAACUACAGAAAAUCAACAGUCUGGGUUGCUAGCUAGCCUCGUCGCCUGCCUCCCCUCAUGUGCUCAUGUGGCCAUGAC
Molecule: long non-coding RNA, 747 nt
Filed under: Nannospalax galili (Upper Galilee mountains blind mole rat)
Lineage: Eukaryota; Metazoa; Chordata; Mammalia; Rodentia; Spalacidae
Description: lncRNA (ENSNGAG00000024401.1)
Source: RNAcentral